CUAGACAAAGUGCAAAUUAUAAUUUAAUCGCAAACCAGUCGAAAAGUCCCUUUUUUGUAUGGAGUUUUGACGGAUUCGAUUUCGACUCGAUCAAAAAGUGCGUUUUGUCUAGGGGGGCUGUGCUAGUACUUAUUAUUAUUCUGUGGUAGCACGCUCAUUUUCUAGCGAUAGCACUCAUUGGCACGCUGAAAAAAGGAUUUUAUUAGAAUUAACGUGGAAUCGUGGAUAUUUUUGAAAAGUUGCAUUUCAGAAACAUGGUGACUUGUUCCGUGAUUGAUUGUGGCAUAACGCAAAGAAAUAAUCCCGAAAAGUGUUCAUUUCACAGAUUUCCUACUAGCGAGGAUACAAAAAAUGCAUGGCUUAAAUUAAUUGAUCGUCCAAACUGGAUUCCGAAGAAAUGGUCUAGUUUAUGCAGUAAACAUUUUGAAGACAAAUAUUUCCAGACACUAGGAGGGAGAAGAGUUUUGAAGAAAUGUGCAAUUCCAACUAAGUUUGUUCCGGUCAAAAUAAUACCUACACGCACAGUGCCAUCCUACGUUAUUCGAGACAUCUUACCAGAGGCAUCCACAUAUAAACCGUCUAGAACUACACCACCGCUUCCGUCCGCACCAUCGACAUCUUCCCAAUUAGAAAAGCUUACAUCUAAAUGCACUAAAUUGCAAGAAAAAUUAAAAAAGAAACGGCAACUCAUUCGAAACCUAAGGGCGCAAAAUAAACGAACUAAGAAUAAAGUUAUAACCUUAGCAUCUUUGCUUGACGAAAUUGAAAAACUUCCUGGGAUUAAAGAGCAUUUAAAUUAUAUUGCAAUAAACUGUAACAAAACGAUUCGGGCCUUAAACGACCGAUCGAAUGUUGAAACUCGAGGUGAAUUAAUAAUACCAGAUUUAAUAGACGCUGAUUCCAAUGAAGACAUACUAUCCGAAACUUCAAAUAGUGAAUUGGAAUCAGAAUGAAGAUAUCUUUUAUCAGUACUACCCGUUCGCGCUAAGUUUGCCGGUUCCGUGGAAUGCGCGUUCCCACCCCCAGCCGCGAUUAAACGCAAUUAAUGUGUCUUAUUUUACGCAAAUGCGAACAGCUAGGGAUUGGAAUUCAUUGCCUUCUGCUGUCUUUCCCGAAAACUAUAAUCCGGGCCUUUUCAAGGCAAGAGUGAAUAGGCACUUACAGGGCAGAUAAUUAUGUACCAUUCUAGACUGCAUCCCACUUAACAUCAGGUGCAAUGAGGAUCAUUUCGAUUUUUAGCUGUGAAUGCAGAUUUAUAGGUCUACGAAAUCCAUAAUAUACAGUCCAAAAAUUUUUGUUCUACGACAAAAAUUGACAAAGUUAUGGCCAAAUUACUAAAAAAGUUCACUGACCGCCCGGCGCGGGACCGAUGACGUCAUUAUAUCCGAUCCGAACGCUGCCGGCGUACUGCGUGGAUAGAAAAUAUUUUUUUCUAGCCAUACUAUCAGUUUUAGAGAAAAACUUCUUAUGACAUUUAUUCAUCAGAAUAAAGUAAGCUAUCGAUAGGUAAUUUUUUAAAAUAGAAAUUGUGAAAAAUAUCGCAAAAAAUCCAUACGCUCAUACGAUUCAAUGGAACGCGGAGACGCGAUUAGGGUCUCCGCGGUGGUAUAUUUGGCGAUUUAUGCAAAUAAAGUGUUCAUAAGUGUUGUUAGAGUCAUAUCUUCGUCCAAGUAAAGUAUAAAAAUGUAUAAGUAGGUAUUAAUUUAUUUACUUCUAACAAUAAGUAUAGCUGAGGCAGAUACACUCUGCCUAGGCUACAAGACAUUGCUAUGAAGAUCAUUUCGAUGUACACGCAAUACCUACCUGUUAUUUAGUUUUUCUGAGUUAAACCUACGUACCUACCUAUCUAUUCGCCGUUCCCAUGGGCGGGCCAGCUGCUCCCUCCUGGAAAUCUAUUUAAUCUUAGCCUAGAAGCUGGGUAUGACUCCCCCGCCCCUCCUCUCCCCAGGUCAUAAGCUGGGCAUGACUGCCCCCUCGGCCAGAAGUCGGGUAUGAUUUACC
Long non-coding RNA from Ostrinia nubilalis (European corn borer), 2001 nucleotides. RefSeq lists it as uncharacterized. The transcript has 3 exons. The record is from RefSeq and is a predicted model, not a curated record. NCBI's taxonomy places the organism in Eukaryota, Metazoa, Arthropoda, Insecta, Lepidoptera, Crambidae.